Non-coding RNA from Cyclospora cayetanensis, 84 nucleotides. The record is from Rfam. Lineage: Eukaryota; Apicomplexa; Conoidasida; Eucoccidiorida; Eimeriidae.
GCACGGAUGCCCGAGUGGUUAAGGGGGUGGACUUAAGUUCCCCUGGUCGUGAAGACCGCGUGGGUUCGAACCCCACUCCGUGCA